This 386-nucleotide ribosomal RNA is filed under the name Eulemur coronatus (crowned lemur). Its description in RNAcentral is "partial 12S ribosomal RNA". It matches the Rfam family "Bacterial small subunit ribosomal RNA", at positions 798 to 1380 of the family's 1533-position model. Lineage: Eukaryota; Metazoa; Chordata; Mammalia; Primates; Lemuridae. The record is from RNAcentral.
AGCCGUAAACCCAAGUAAUUAAUGAACAAAAUUACUCGCCAGAGCACUACAAGCAACAGCUUAAAACUCAAAGGACUUGGCGGUGCUUUAUAUCCCUCUAGAGGAGCCUGUUCUAUAAUCGAUAAACCCCGAUAAACCUCACCACUUCUUGCUAAUUCAACCUAUAUACCGCCAUCCUCAGCAAACCUUGUUAAGGCCUCAAAGUAAGCAAAAACACAGACAUAAAAACGUUAGGUCAAGGUGUAGUCUAUGGAGUGGAAAGAAAUGGGCUACAUUUUCUAAUACAAGAACAAUUCCCCAACAGCAGCCUUUAUGAAAUUAAAAGCUAAAGGAGGAUUUAGCAGUAAAUUAAGAAUAGAGAGCUUAAUUGAAUAGGGCCAUGAAGC